Molecule: ribosomal RNA, 668 nt
Filed under: Leucon pallidus
Lineage: Eukaryota; Metazoa; Arthropoda; Malacostraca; Cumacea; Leuconidae
Description: partial large subunit ribosomal RNA
Source: RNAcentral
CACGGACCAAGGAGUCUAACAGGUACGCGAGUUGAGGAGUUGUCUAAACUGUUGAGCGAAGCGAAAGCAAAACGGACCGUCUUCGGACGGUUCAAGCUGAUCCGGUGCCUCUUCUUUUCGAGGAGCCCGGCGCAGGCUAAGGGCCCGCCAUUGUCAGUCUUUGUUYUUGGUCGUUUCGCGCGAUYUACGUCGACUGGUUGGCGGGCACCCAGAGCGUGCACGUUAGUACCCGAAAGAUGGUGAUHUAUGCUUGGCUAGAAUGAAGCCAGAGGAAACUYUGGUGGAGGUUCGUAGCGAUUYUGACGUGCAAAUCGAUCGUCGGAGCUGAGUAUAGGGGCGAAAGACCAAUCGAACCAUYUAGUAGCUGGUUCCCUCCGAAGUUUCCCUCAGGAUAGCUGGCACUCGUGCCUGAACGAGUUUCAUCCGGUAAAGAGAAUGAUUAGGGGUCCUUGGGGAUGAAAUUUCCUCAGCCCAUUCUCAAACUCUAAAUGGGUGAGAAGUCGGGCUUUYGUAAUUAGAAGCCACGGCGUUGAAUCAGAGUGCCCAGUGGGCCUAUUUUGGUAAGCAGAACUGGCGCUGUGGGAUGAACCAAACGUUCGGGUUAAGGGGCCAAAAUGUCGGUCAAUACAGAAACCUUUAAAGGCGUUGGUCGCUCAUGACAGCAGGUC